GAUGAACGCUGGCGGCGUGCCUAAUACAUGCAAGUCGAGCGAACAGAUAAGGAGCUUGCUCCUUUGACGUUAGCGGCGGACGGGAGAGUAACACGUGGUUAACCUACCUAUAAGACUGGAAUAACUCCGGGAAACCGGGGCUAAUGCCGGAUAACAUUUAGAACCGCAUGGUUCUAAAGUGAAAGAUGGUUUUGCUAUCACUUAUAGAUGGACCCGCGCCGUAUUAGCUAGUUGGUAAGGUAGCGGCUUACCAAGGCAACGAUACGUAGCCGACCUGCGAGGGUGAUCGGCCACACUGGAGCUGAGACACGGUCCAGACUCCUACGGGAGGCAGCAGUAGGGAAUCUUCCGAGAUGGGCGAAAGCCUGACGGAGCAACGCCGGGUGAGUGAUGAAGGUCUUCGGAUCGUAAAACGCUGUUAUUAGGGAAGAACAAAUGUGUAAGUAACUGUGCACGUCUUGACGGUACCUAAACAAAAAGCAACGGCUAACUACGUG
Molecule: ribosomal RNA, 497 nt
Filed under: uncultured bacterium
Lineage: Bacteria
Description: partial 16S ribosomal RNA
Rfam family: Bacterial small subunit ribosomal RNA
Source: RNAcentral